UGGCCCGUGGGGGGAUCGAAACCAUGACUUUCGCCUUAUUAGCACGACGCUCUAACCAACUGAGCCAAUGGGCC
Non-coding RNA from Cordylochernes scorpioides, 74 nucleotides. The record is from the annotation of a GenBank genome assembly. Lineage: Eukaryota; Metazoa; Arthropoda; Arachnida; Pseudoscorpiones; Chernetidae.